Molecule: ribosomal RNA, 1185 nt
Filed under: Triticum aestivum (bread wheat)
Lineage: Eukaryota; Viridiplantae; Streptophyta; Magnoliopsida; Poales; Poaceae
Description: partial small subunit ribosomal RNA
Source: RNAcentral
AUGGAGCUGCAGACGUCGGGGCGGCCCAUCGAGGUGCUGAUGGAGAAGGUGCUGUCGAUGAACAUCGUCUCCUCGGACUACUUCAAGGAGCUCUACAAGAUCAAGACCUACCACGAGGUCAUCGACGAGAUCUACAACCAGGUGGACCACGUCGAGCCCUGGAUGACGGGCAACUGCCGCGGCCCCUCCACCGCCUUCUGCCUCCUCUACAAGCUCUUCACCAUGAAGCUCACCGUCAACCAGAUGCACGGCCUGCUCAAGCACCCGGACUCCCCCUACAUCAGAGCUAUUGGGUUUCUGUACCUGCGCUAUGCCGCGGACCCAAAGACCUUAUGGACCUGGUAUGAGCCCUACAUUCAAGAUGACGAGGAGUUUUCCCCUGGAUCCAAUGGUAAAAUGACAACUAUGGGCGUUUAUGUGCGUGAUGUCAUCCUUGGUCAGUACUACUUCGACAGUCUUCUUCCACGAGUGCCUCUCCUAAUUCUGCGACAGGUUACUGCCCAUCUGGAGAAAAUGAAGCUCCCAACAAAGCAGUCAGGGAUAACUGGGGAUUCUAGCCGCCUUGGUUCAGAUGAUACUGCCCGGCGGCCUCCUUCAGUGAAGGCUUCUCUGUCCGUCUCUUUUGGUCAGCGUGCUCCACACCGUGCAUCCACAAGGGAUUCAUCCCCAGUCCGAAAGACAUUGCCUUCUGUACGAGAAAGGGAAAGGAGUCAUGAUGGCAGUCAUGCCAAAUCUCCACCCAGGAAGCACCGAAGUCAGAGUCGUGAGCGCAGCCGUGACAUUGAGAGGGACCGUUCAGAUCGCGAUCGUGGUAGGUACAAGGAUAGGGAGCAUGGUCGGCACAGCCGUGAUAACAGAGACCGUGACUACCGCCGCUCAAGCUAUUCUGAUAGGGAUGUUGAGAGGCGCGGCCAUGAAAGGAGGGAUAGGGACUCCGACCGAAACGGGCGUUCGAGUGGCCGCAGAAGCAGGAGCAGGAGCAGGAGUCCAAGCCGUGGCAGAACCAACGGGGACAGCCACCGCUCCAGCCCGUUUGGUAAAGCGCCGGAGUCAUCAAACCUGGCGAAGCUGAAGGAUCUAUACGGUGACGCGACGAACGCGAAGGACGACGCCGGCGACGACAGAUCUCGCAGGGACUCCGGAACUGAAGAGGUGAUCAGAUUGGGAGGCGCCAGGUGGAGGUGA